This 22-nucleotide non-coding RNA is filed under the name Arabidopsis thaliana (thale cress). The record is from RNAcentral. Lineage: Eukaryota; Viridiplantae; Streptophyta; Magnoliopsida; Brassicales; Brassicaceae.
AUCAAACUGUCGAGAUAUGGUA